Molecule: small nucleolar RNA, 107 nt
Organism: Arabis alpina (gray rockcress)
Lineage: Eukaryota; Viridiplantae; Streptophyta; Magnoliopsida; Brassicales; Brassicaceae
Rfam family: Plant small nucleolar RNA R71
About the family: R71 is a member of the C/D box family of snoRNAs containing the C (UGAUGA) and D (CUGA) box motifs.
Source: Rfam
AUCCCAUGGUGAUGACAAGCUCUUGUAUAUCCUUUCAUACGCUCUCAUGCGUCAUACAAACUCUCUUCUUCGCCUUGCUCGAAUCUAGCUAUAUCAUUCCUUAUCUU